GAUUCUCAUGAUAUCUUUAUUUGAUCAAACCCCUUGUGGAGCUGCGUUUUUUUCUUGGAUUGUAACUCCUCCUUACCUCCCCAAUUUUGGAUUUUGGCAAGAACUAUCUUUGCCACGCAUCAUCGCACAAAGAAUUAAAAGCUACAACUUGGUGGUGCAUAACUAGUUGUGGCUGUUUCUGUUGUCUUUUUUACCACGACAUGCGUUGACGGGGUCUUAUUUGCAGCGGGCGUGGCCUCCAAGUGAAUCACUUGUGCAGCGGGCGUGGCCUCCAAGGGAAUUACUUGUGGCCGUUGUUGACCUUUGGAAUGAGCAUUGAUGGCACUAUGGAUGAAAUCAAGGUGGUUUUGCAAUUCCUAGCAUCUAGGAUAAAAUUCGUUGAUGCAAAAUGGAAUAUUGCUGAGUUUGUCAAUCAAUUUAAACAAAUU
This 428-nucleotide unclassified non-coding RNA is filed under the name Hevea brasiliensis (rubber tree). The record is from RNAcentral. Lineage: Eukaryota; Viridiplantae; Streptophyta; Magnoliopsida; Malpighiales; Euphorbiaceae.